AUGACUCAACUCUACACCUUACUGUACAUAGUGAGAUACACAACACUGAUUCUCACUGUAGUUACAACAGGCAGUUUUGCAGUCAAAAUUGGACCGACUGAUAAAGAUGCCAACAUCAUAAGUAAAGAAACAGAUACUGUUACUCUCAAAUGUUCAUAUGAGACAAGCAGGGAAAGCAUUCGACUUUACUGGUACAAACAAAAUCCUAACAGCACACCACAGUUUUUACUCUAUAAAGGUGCAAGGUCAGCAUCUGCAGAGCGCAAACCCACUGACACUCGAUUAGAGUCCAAAACUACCAGAGACUCUACUGAACUUACUAUCAGAGGUCUAAAGAUCUCAGAUUCUGCUCUCUAUCACUGCGCACUUAAAGACGUAACACAGUAA
This is a non-coding RNA of Silurus meridionalis, 387 nucleotides long. Lineage: Eukaryota; Metazoa; Chordata; Actinopteri; Siluriformes; Siluridae. The record is from the annotation of a RefSeq genome assembly.